CUUCAAUAACUACAAUAUAAAUUACAAAAAGUACAUGUGGAUGUGUUAAAAGACUGCCAAUACUGCUAAAAACAAACACUCCACACUGGAAAAAGCAACAGAAUAAAAGAGGAAGAGGAAAACAGAAGUGAGAUGUGAAAACAAGUGCGUGUUGGCAGGGAGCCAAUCACAUUUUGAGAGAAAACCAUGCGAUAGCAGCUAGCCAAUCACACUUUGAUAUACAUAUUGAUGUGUCUUGUGCCAUUGAACAGGAGAAAAAGUUUUAAAAGAGGAUGGUGAUAGUAAUGGGAUGGUGGGGGGGGGGGAGGAAGCACUUCCCCCUCAAAAACAACCUAACUAACCUAAAAAGGGACUCGGAUUUUUGUUGUUCUCCCCUCUUUAAAAAAAAUAAAAAAUGAGAAUUUAAAUAAAUAAAUAAAGAGCAGAGAGUCUGGGGUGAAGUGGCGAUCCCAGGGAAUGGCAUGUGCUGGUUCAGGGCUCUCUUCUAGGCACCGCCAUUUUAUUUUUUAAGCGAAUAAUUUACGGUAAAAUAAAAUUAAAAGGGGGGGGUGGAAAAUGUGUUUUUAAGUAAUUUUUUUAAAAAAAUUAGUAAUAAUAGUAAUUUGGGGAAAGGAAUUAAGACUUAACAAGUAAAAAUAAAAGUAAAAGAUUGCUGUAGCGGCAAUGGCCCCCUUUUUAAAAAAAGUUUUAAAAAUAUUAAAAAAUAAAAGAAGAUAAAAUGGAAUUAAAAAGAGGGGUUUUCAGUAUUUUGUAUUUUCCCUGCCGGGGUGUGUGUGUUGACCAUGGUGCAUUCUCUUCUCUUCUGUGGUGUCUUUUAUCGCACGGCCUCCGUCUGUGCCCCAGCCUGCUCUUGGCAUGCUAGCCACUGGGGAGGUAGGUUUGGGUCUGGCCUGGGCUUGGCCACAUGUUUCCUUACGGCUUCGUUGCCCUCUCAGUACUCUCCUACCUCUCCUCUUCUUCCCCUGCGGCAGUGGUAAGGUCGGGGCUCUUUUUUUCUUUUUCCACAUUGGCUCUGGGGUCCAGCGGCCCCUGAGCUCCACUGGGCCAUUGUCCGAGUGUUUUCGGUCGCUGGGGGGCGGGGGCGUUGCAGCUCCCUUGGUUGACACACCAGGCACCCCCAGUUCCCCUCCGGUAGUAGAGCUGGCGGUGACAGCCCAGGAGCCGGCCAGGCAGUGUAAUUGGUUCUGACUGGCUUCAGGAGCUGCUUGCCGCCGCAGUGUCCGCCAUGUUGUCUCUGGUCAAAGCCUCCUCCAGUGCCCCAGAUGAUGCACACUGGCCAGAAGGGUUUGGUGCCUUUUCGGCUCAGCAGAAGGGAGGUGGUGGCUGUGGGAGCUUCCUUAGUGGGUUGCCAGCCAUGGCUGCUGUGCUCCCCCCCAAAAAAAGUUUGGCCCGGAGCGGUCCACCCCCACCUCAGCUACGCUAGUGAGAACCAACCCCCUUCACAUCUUCUGGCGCAUCUAAUAUUGUCAAGUAAAUUGGGGUAAGUUGAGAAGUUAAAAACAUUUCCCCCAGAUAUCAUAUUUCAUGCUUACUUCCAAGUUCUGUGGUUUCCCAGGAACUGACUCCGUCUCUCAGUAAUUGCACUAGUCCUACUCUUUUUUCCUGAUGCGCUAAAAGCUAAUUUCUCUUUAGAAAUUGUAUCCCCAACUAAAGUAACUUAAUUAAACACCUUAUUUACUGGCUGCGCUGACGAACAUCCUGAAAGCUUUUCUAAAAAACUUGUGAUUAGCUUUGCUCAUCCUCAGGCCAUCCAAACCAGGAAGUCACCUUUAUUAAUUCUAAAAAAAUAGUAUUUAUUUGCAGUUGGGGGGUGGAUAUGAAAUAAAUAGAAAUCUAUAUUAUAUCUUUGUAAAGUCACGCCUAAUAAAUAAAAAGAGCAUAAUGCGCAGUGUCAAGGUUAAUGGAGUUUGAUUGAAACAGCAAAUCUAGGCAAUGGUAGGUUGUUGUUUUAAAAAACACUCCAAGGAAGAUAAAAUAUGUUGAAUUGUACCAAUUGGAAGGACUCUGCUUGAGUAUUUGUCUAAACCCAGGGGUGCGCUUUGUUUAAUGACCCCCCCCCCUUAUUUGUAAAAGAAUUUCAGGGCAGAAUAAACAGUGAACAUCCAACUUCCAUAUGUUCAAUGUGCUAAAGGCAUUUGGCGAAGCAAGCAGCUUUAUUUGUUUCUAAUUGCUGCAGACUUCAUAACAGGACCUUCCUCUCGUGUACCUCGUAUACCCUGUGGGUUACAAUUGUAAUUCAAUUCCCACAUGAAGUACGCAAAGACAGAACUUCACAGCAUCGUUUGCGCCAUAAUAUUGUGUGCUAAGAGCCCAGAUGUUGACUCUUUUUACAUGUGUUCAUGUGUGUCAUGUCAGUUUCUAUAGUUAAGGCC
This 2372-nucleotide long non-coding RNA is filed under the name Podarcis lilfordi (Lilford's wall lizard). Lineage: Eukaryota; Metazoa; Chordata; Lepidosauria; Squamata; Lacertidae. The record is from RNAcentral.